This 305-nucleotide ribosomal RNA is filed under the name uncultured bacterium. Its description in RNAcentral is "partial 16S ribosomal RNA". It matches the Rfam family "Bacterial small subunit ribosomal RNA", at positions 508 to 808 of the family's 1533-position model. The record is from RNAcentral.
ACAGCAGUCGCCGCGGUAAUACGUAGGGUGCAAGCGUUGUCCGGAAUUAUUGGGCGUAAAGAGCUCGUAGGCGGUUUGUCGCGUCUGCUGUGAAAUCUGGGGGCUCAACCCCCAGCCUGCAGUGGGUACGGGCAGACUAGAGUGCGGUAGGGGAGAUUGGAAUUCCUGGUGUAGCGGUGGAAUGCGCAGAUAUCAGGAGGAACACCGAUGGCGAAGGCAGAUCUCUGGGCCGUAACUGACGCUGAGGAGCGAAAGCAUGGGAGCGAACAGGAUUAGAUACCCCUGUAGUCCCUGUCUCUUAUACA